UACGUAGGGUCCGAGCGUUGUCCGGAAUUACUGGGCGUAAAGAGCUCGUAGGUGGUUUGUCGCGUUGUUCGUGAAAACUCACAGCUCAACUGUGGGCGUGCGGGCGAUACGGGCAGACUAGAGUACUGCAGGGGAGACUGGAAUUCCUGGUGUAGCGGUGAAAUGCGUAGAUAUCGAGAGGAACACCUGCGGCGAAGGCGGGUUGCUGGGCUGAUACUGACGCUGAGGCGCGAAAGCCAGGGGAGCGAACGGG
Molecule: ribosomal RNA, 253 nt
Filed under: uncultured bacterium
Lineage: Bacteria
Description: partial 16S ribosomal RNA
Rfam family: Bacterial small subunit ribosomal RNA
Source: RNAcentral